CUAACCUAGCGGCGGACGGGUGAGUAAUGCUUAGGAAUCUGCCUAUUAGUGGGGGACAACGUUUCGAAAGGAACGCUAAUACCGCAUACGCCCUACGGGGAAGCAGGGGAUCUUCGGACCUUGCGCUAAUAGAUGAGCCUAAGCCAGAUUAGCUAGUUGGUGGGGUAAAGGCCUACCAAGGCGACGAUCUGUAGCGGGUCUGAGAGGAUGAUCCGCCACACUGGGACUGAGACACGGCCCAG
RNAcentral lists this ribosomal RNA (242 nucleotides) under uncultured bacterium. RNAcentral's name for it is "partial 16S ribosomal RNA". It matches the Rfam family "Bacterial small subunit ribosomal RNA", at positions 87 to 334 of the family's 1533-position model. The record is from RNAcentral.